This 310-nucleotide unclassified non-coding RNA is filed under the name uncultured fungus. RNAcentral's name for it is "partial contains small subunit ribosomal RNA, internal transcribed spacer 1, and 5.8S ribosomal RNA". The stretch from base 1 to 73 matches the Rfam family "Eukaryotic small subunit ribosomal RNA", at positions 1759 to 1831 of the family's 1831-position model. Lineage: Eukaryota; Fungi. The record is from RNAcentral.
CCAAACUUGGUCAUUUAGAGGAAGUAAAAGUCGUAACAAGGUUUCCGUAGGUGAACCUGCGGAAGGAUCAUUAACAGAGAGACGGGGUGCCCUCGUGGCCCCCAAACUCCACACCCUGUGAAGAUGUUACCUUUGUUGCUUUGGCGGGGCGAGGCCGCAAGGCCCCGUUGGCCCUUCCGGGCUGGCGAGCCCCCGCCAGAGGACCAUAAACUAUUGCUUUAAACAACCUUGCCGUCUGAAGAAUUUUUAAAAUAGCGAUAAAACUUUCAACAACGGAUCUCUUGGUUCUGGCAUCGAUGAAGAACGCAGC